GCCUGGCUGGCUCAGUCGGUAGAGCAUGCAACUCUUGAUUUCAGGGUUGUGAGUUUGAGCCCCAUGUUGGGUG
RNAcentral lists this transfer RNA (73 nucleotides) under Felis catus (domestic cat). It matches the Rfam family "tRNA". Rfam says of the family: Transfer RNA (tRNA) molecules are approximately 80 nucleotides in length. Their secondary structure includes four short double-helical elements and three loops (D, anti-codon, and T loops). Further hydrogen bonds mediate the characteristic L-shaped molecular structure. tRNAs have two regions of fundamental functional importance: the anti-codon, which is responsible for specific mRNA codon recognition, and the 3' end, to which the tRNAs corresponding amino acid is attached (by aminoacyl-tRNA synthetases). tRNAs cope with the degeneracy of the genetic code in two manners: having more than one tRNA (with a specific anti-codon) for a particular amino acid; and 'wobble' base-pairing, i.e. permitting non-standard base-pairing at the 3rd anti-codon position. Lineage: Eukaryota; Metazoa; Chordata; Mammalia; Carnivora; Felidae. The record is from Rfam by way of RNAcentral. RNAcentral also lists the same sequence under 5 other names.